GGACGAACGCUGGCGGCGUGCCUAAUACAUGCAAGUCGAACGAACUCUGGUAUUGAUUGGUGCUUGCAUCAUGAUUUACAUUUGAGUGAGUGGCGAACUGGUGAGUAACACGUGGGAAACCUGCCCAGAAGCGGGGGAUAACACCUGGAAACAGAUGCUAAUACCGCAUAACAACUUGGACCGCAUGGUCCGAGCUUGAAAGAUGGCUUCGGCUAUCACUUUUGGAUGGUCCCGCGGCGUAUUAGCCAGAUGGUGGGGUAACGGCUCACCAUGGCAAUGAUACGUAGCCGACCUGAGAGGGUAAUCGGCCACAUUGGGACUGAGACACGGCCCAAACUCCUACGGGAGGCAGCAGUAGGGAAUCUUCCACAAUGGACGAAAGUCUGAUGGAGCAACGCCGCGUGAGUGAAGAAGGGUUUCGGCUCGUAAAACUCUGUUGUUAAAGAAGAACAUAUCUGAGAGUAACUGUUCAGGUAUUGACGGUAUUUAACCAGAAAGCCACGGCUAACUACGUGCCAGCAGCCGCGGUAAUACGUAGGUGGCAAGCGUUGUCCGGAUUUAUUGGGCGUAAAGCGAGCGCAGGCGGUUUUUUAAGUCUGAUGUGAAAGCCUUCGGCUCAACCGAAGAAGUGCAUCGGAAACUGGGAAACUUGAGUGCAGAAGAGGACAGUGGAACUCCAUGUGUAGCGGUGAAAUGCGUAGAUAUAUGGAAGAACACCAGUGGCGAAGGCGGCUGUCUGGUCUGUAACUGACGCUGAGGCUCGAAAGUAUGGGUAGCAAACAGGAUUAGAUACCCUGGUAGUCCAUACCGUAAACGAUGAAUGCUAAGUGUUGGAGGGUUUCCGCCCUUCAGUGCUGCAGCUAACGCAUUAAGCAUUCCGCCUGGGGAGUACGGCCGCAAGGCUGAAACUCAAAGGAAUUGACGGGGGCCCGCACAAGCGGUGGAGCAUGUGGUUUAAUUCGAAGCUACGCGAAGAACCUUACCAGGUCUUGACAUACUAUGCAAAUCUAAGAGAUUAGACGUUCCCUUCGGGGACAUGGAUACAGGUGGUGCAUGGUUGUCGUCAGCUCGUGUCGUGAGAUGUUGGGUUAAGUCCCGCAACGAGCGCAACCCUUAUUAUCAGUUGCCAGCAUUAAGUUGGGCACUCUGGUGAGACUGCCGGUGACAAACCGGAGGAAGGUGGGGAUGACGUCAAAUCAUCAUGCCCCUUAUGACCUGGGCUACACACGUGCUACAAUGGAUGGUACAACGAGUUGCGAACUCGCGAGAGUAAGCUAAUCUCUUAAAGCCAUUCUCAGUUCGGAUUGUAGGCUGCAACUCGCCUACAUGAAGUCGGAAUCGCUAGUAAUCGCGGAUCAGCAUGCCGCGGUGAAUACGUUCCCGGGCCUUG
Molecule: ribosomal RNA, 1390 nt
Filed under: uncultured Lactobacillus sp.
Lineage: Bacteria; Bacillati; Bacillota; Bacilli; Lactobacillales; Lactobacillaceae
Description: bacterial SSU rRNA
Rfam family: Bacterial small subunit ribosomal RNA
Source: RNAcentral